This 398-nucleotide unclassified non-coding RNA is filed under the name Hevea brasiliensis (rubber tree). The record is from RNAcentral. Lineage: Eukaryota; Viridiplantae; Streptophyta; Magnoliopsida; Malpighiales; Euphorbiaceae.
AAUCAGAUGCUUUAUCAAAAUACCCUUUUGCCUCAGCAAGGUCAGAAGUCAGAAAUGCAUAUGAGGUAUUUGCAUUUCCUAUAUACCAUAGUGUGUCAGCCUUGGCAGGAUUUAUCACCAAAGCCUCCUCCAACUUGGAAAUGGCAUCAUUUAACAUCUUUUUUGCGUCUGGAACGCUCUGAAAUUGAGACAGUUCAAUCAAAGCUCCACCCCACUUAGUCAGAUUAUCAGCAUCGAGAGGAUCCUUAGCGUAGGUAGCUUCAGCGGAUUUUCGAGUAUGCUCAAACAUCAGGAGCCGAUCGAAGUCAUCUUGAGAGAACUCCAUUUUCUCUGUCGUCAGCUCUAGGGUUUUCAGUUAAUAGAACACGCAGAGAGAGAGAGGGAGCGAGAAAGGGCGG